RNAcentral lists this ribosomal RNA (484 nucleotides) under uncultured bacterium. Its description in RNAcentral is "bacterial SSU rRNA". It matches the Rfam family "Bacterial small subunit ribosomal RNA", at positions 30 to 507 of the family's 1533-position model. The record is from RNAcentral.
AUUGAACGCUGGCGGCAGGCCUAACACAUGCAAGUCGAGCGGAUGAAGGGAGCUUGCUCCCGGAUUCAGCGGCGGACGGGUGAGUAAUGCCUAGGAAUCUGCCUGGUAGUGGGGGACAACGUUUCGAAAGGAACGCUAAUACCGCAUACGUCCUACGGGAGAAAGCAGGGGACCUUCGGGCCUUGCGCUAUCAGAUGAGCCUAGGUCGGAUUAGCUAGUUGGUGAGGUAAUGGCUCACCAAGGCGACGAUCCGUAACUGGUCUGAGAGGAUGAUCAGUCACACUGGAACUGAGACACGGUCCAGACUCCUACGGGAGGCAGCAGUGGGGAAUAUUGGACAAUGGGCGAAAGCCUGAUCCAGCCAUGCCGCGUGUGUGAAGAAGGUCUUCGGAUUGUAAAGCACUUUAAGUUGGGAGGAAGGGCAGUAAGUUAAUACCUUGCUGCUUUGACGUUACCGACAGAAUAAGCACCGGCUAACUUCGUG